This 164-nucleotide ribosomal RNA is filed under the name Streptocarpus wilmsii. RNAcentral describes it as "5.8S ribosomal RNA". It matches the Rfam family "5.8S ribosomal RNA". From Rfam's summary of the family: 5.8S ribosomal RNA (5.8S rRNA) is a component of the large subunit of the eukaryotic ribosome. It is transcribed by RNA polymerase I as part of the 45S precursor that also contains 18S and 28S rRNA. The record is from RNAcentral. Lineage: Eukaryota; Viridiplantae; Streptophyta; Magnoliopsida; Lamiales; Gesneriaceae. RNAcentral also lists the same sequence under 2 other names.
AUAACGACUCUCGGCAACGGAUAUCUCGGCUCUCGCAUCGAUGAAGAACGUAGCGAAAUGCGAUACUUGGUGUGAAUUGCAGAAUCCCGUGAACCAUCGAGUCUUUGAACGCAAGUUGCGCCCAAAGCCAUCAGGUUGAGGGCACGUCUGCCUGGGCGUCACGC